Molecule: ribosomal RNA, 525 nt
Filed under: uncultured bacterium
Lineage: Bacteria
Description: partial 16S ribosomal RNA
Rfam family: Bacterial small subunit ribosomal RNA
Source: RNAcentral
UGGGGAAUCUUCCGCAAUGGACGAAAGUCUGACGGAGCAACGCCGCGUGAGUGAAGAAGGUUUUCGGAUCAUAAAACUCUGUCUUUUGGGGCGAACGUGAGUAUGGUGAACAAUCAUAGUCAGUGACGGUACCAAAGGAGGAAGCCACGGCUAACUACGUGCCAGCAGCCGCGGUAAUACGUAGGUGGCAAGCGUUGUCCGGAAUUAUUGGGCGUAAAGAGCGCGUAGGCGGGAUAGUCAGUCUGUUGUAAAGUGCGGGGCUCAACCCCGUGAUCGCAAUGGAAACAGCUAUUCUUGAGUGCAGGAGAGGAAAGUGGAAUUCCCAGUGUAGCGGUGAGAUGCGUAGAUAUUGGGAGGAACACCAGUGGCGAAGGCGACUUUCUGGACUGUGUCUGACGCUGAGGCGCGAAAGCCAGGGGAGCGAACGGGAUUAGAUACCCCGGUAGUCCUGGCCGUAAACGAUGGGUACUAGGUGUGGGAGGUAUCGACCCCUUCCGUGUCGGAGUUAACGCAAUAAGUACCCCG